Molecule: long non-coding RNA, 327 nt
Filed under: Lathyrus oleraceus (garden pea)
Lineage: Eukaryota; Viridiplantae; Streptophyta; Magnoliopsida; Fabales; Fabaceae
Description: Pisum sativum (pea) long non-coding RNA (PSAT_LNC035095)
Source: RNAcentral
AGACCAGAGGAGCAAUUUGUGCCACCCCCACAAGACUCGAACCGACAAGGUGAAGGGUCCUUUUCUAUGUCUCAGGACCAAUGGGGUUGGAUACAAACUGAGAUGGGUGUCCUCCGCACCGAGCAAACUAGACAAGGUGUGGAAUUGUUCCGACAAGGGACGGUUAUGGAUGACAUGCAAGCUAUGAUGCAAUGUCUGAUGUUGCAUUUCCUGCAUGAUCCUCCACCUCCUCCACAACAGUAGUCGCUGUGAGUCCCCUUUGUAUCUGGAUUUAAACAUUGAGGUCAAUGUUUAGUUCAGGUGUGUGGGGGUUUUUCCUUUCAUGUU